RNAcentral lists this ribosomal RNA (206 nucleotides) under uncultured bacterium. RNAcentral describes it as "partial 16S ribosomal RNA". It matches the Rfam family "Bacterial small subunit ribosomal RNA", at positions 568 to 773 of the family's 1533-position model. The record is from RNAcentral.
UGCGUAGGCGGCUUGGAAAGUUGGGUGUGAAAUCCCUCGGCUCAACCGAGGAAUUGCGCUCAAAACUGCCAAGCUUGAGGGAGAUAGAGGUGAGCGGAACUAAUGGUGGAGCGGUGAAAUGCGUUGAUAUCAUUAGGAACACCGGUGGCGAAAGCGGCUCGCUGGGUCUCUUCUGACGCUGAGGCACGAAAGCUAGGGGAGCGAAC